UUUGUAUGUUAUUUUUUUCCUUGAUUAUUAGUAGUUAUGAUCUUUAAAAUUAAAAAAUUUGGCGGUAUUUUAGUCUGUUCAGAGGAACCUGUUUUUUGAUUGAUAGUCCACGAUAAUUUUUACUUUAGUUUUAAAUUUGCAUAUCGUCGUUUAUAAAAAUUUUAGGAGAAUUUUAAUUUUUAGGAUUUUUUAUUAGAUUAUAUUUCAGAUCAAGGUGUAGUUUAUAUUAAAGUUAAAAUGGGUUACAUUAUAGUUAUAUUUGGUUUUAUGAUUUAAAAUUUUAAUUAAAUUGGAUUUGAUAGUAAGUUUUUUAUUUUUGGGAAUUGAUUUAGCUCUAAAAUAUGU
RNAcentral lists this ribosomal RNA (345 nucleotides) under Eulabis bicarinata. Its description in RNAcentral is "partial 12S ribosomal RNA". The record is from RNAcentral. Lineage: Eukaryota; Metazoa; Arthropoda; Insecta; Coleoptera; Tenebrionidae.